Molecule: long non-coding RNA, 1005 nt
Organism: Gasterosteus aculeatus aculeatus (three-spined stickleback)
Lineage: Eukaryota; Metazoa; Chordata; Actinopteri; Perciformes; Gasterosteidae
Source: Ensembl
UUCAUUUUAUUUAUUUCAAGGCAAAUCCAUAGUCCAGGGGGGUAUUCCAGAAAGGAGGUUUAACAAACUCUGAGUCUAUCCCUGAACUCCGAGUUGACUUACUCUGAGACGGGAAACUCUGAGUAUCCGGUUCCAGAACAGCUGAUCUGCGUUAGUUAAAUAGACUCGGAGUAUGUUCACCUUGAGUUAAGCGCGUGCAUGACGAUUAUAACUAGAAAAGGCAUUUCCUGCUGAAAAUGCGUUGGAAUGCAAAAAGCUGAAAGCUGCACUGAAUAUUUAAAAAUAGCUGAAAAUACAGAAAGUUGAAGGGAAUUUGAAUACAUUUGCUGAAUAUUUAAAAAUAGCUGAAAAUACAGAAAGUUGAAGGGAAUUUGAAUACAUUUGCUGAAAUAAAAGAUAUUAGAAAAGCUGAAAUUAAUUUGAAAUAGCUGAAAAUACAGAAAUGGGAGAAGCUGAAAGGAAAUUCAAUAGAUUUGCUGAAAAAGCAGAAAUGAAAACAGCUGAAAUAAAUGUGAAAUAUUGCAAAACAGAAGUUGCAGGAGCUUAAAUGAAUUUUAAAAAGUACAGAAAUAACAUAAGCUGAGAUGAAUAAAAAGAGGUUUAAAAUUGUUUGUAGUAAUGUUAGUUGUAAUUUGGGUAUUAGUACUAGCAGUAGAAGUCGGUUUAGUAUCAAUAGCAGUAGAAACAGCUGGAAUACUGAUACUAUUAGCCAUAGUAGUAUUUUUAAUAACAUUAGUAGUAGUUGUAUUAAUAGCAGUAGAAAUACUAGUAGUAUGGUAGUAGAAGUAUCAGUUGUAGUUCUACUAGAAGUACUAGUAAUAUUCGUAGUGGUUAUAGUAGUAUUUGAAAGAGCAAUGCGUAUUUCAACGAAACCGCUUCAUGGUUAAGGUACAGAUAAUCAUUGAGGCUUUUAGUUUGUAAUGAUGGAAUUCGGGUGAGGGGGGGUUGGGAGACAGAAUGUUUGCUAUUCCAACUAAGAAGCUGUUAAUUAAUAGGCCUCAUCAC